RNAcentral lists this ribosomal RNA (253 nucleotides) under uncultured bacterium. RNAcentral's name for it is "partial 16S ribosomal RNA". It matches the Rfam family "Bacterial small subunit ribosomal RNA", at positions 524 to 776 of the family's 1533-position model. The record is from RNAcentral.
UACGAAGGGUGCAAGCGUUACUCGGAAUUACUGGGCGUAAAGCGUGCGUAGGUGGUCGUUUAAGUCUGUUGUGAAAGCCCUGGGCUCAACCUGGGAACUGCAGUGGAAACUGGACGACUAGAGUGUGGUAGAGGGUAGCGGAAUUCCUGGUGUAGCAGUGAAAUGCGUAGAGAUCAGGAGGAACAUCCAUGGCGAAGGCAGCUACCUGGACCAACACUGACACUGAGGCACGAAAGCGUGGGGAGCAAACAGG